Mastomys coucha (southern multimammate mouse) is the source of this 474-nucleotide long non-coding RNA. RefSeq lists it as uncharacterized. The transcript is spliced from 2 exons. Lineage: Eukaryota; Metazoa; Chordata; Mammalia; Rodentia; Muridae. The record is from RefSeq and is a predicted model, not a curated record.
AUGGAAAGCUGAUGGUGAAAAGGGAACGAGGGCAUCGUGUCUCUUAAGCUACUUCCUGCUGUCUAGGGGCAUCAUCAAUGGGGGAUAGCUGGCUUUCACGAUCAGGAUCUACUUGAGCUUACAACUGGAGACUGUCAACUCAUGCCUGCUGUGCCUAGGACAAAGACCCACUAUGCUGAGUUCUGCCUUCAAGGAUUCUAGAGGAAGGUUUGUCUGGUGGCUGACACACCCACUGGCUGAAGACUUGUUGAAUGAAAAGAAACUGACCGCCUGAGGACAUCCGCUGUUGACUUCCACCCAAAUGGGCACGCCCAGGCAGCUGGGCUUUCCCCCUUUGACUCUGUACAGAUUCUUCCUGACUCCUCCCACAUUGCUUAUGUUAUGCAAAUGUCAUUGUAACUUAGAGAUCCAGUUUUGCUUUCUUGUAUACAGAUAAACCCAAAAGUAAAGUGGCAAGGCUUGAUUGGAACGCCU